RNAcentral lists this transfer RNA (71 nucleotides) under Chrysochroa fulgidissima. Its description in RNAcentral is "tRNA-Lys". Lineage: Eukaryota; Metazoa; Arthropoda; Insecta; Coleoptera; Buprestidae. The record is from RNAcentral.
CACUAGGUGACUGAAAGCAAGUAAUGGUCUCUUAAACCAAAUAAUWGUAAAAUAGUGCCUACUCCUAGUGA